Diospyros lotus (date-plum) is the source of this 1062-nucleotide long non-coding RNA. RefSeq lists it as uncharacterized. NCBI's taxonomy places the organism in Eukaryota, Viridiplantae, Streptophyta, Magnoliopsida, Ericales, Ebenaceae. The record is from RefSeq and is a predicted model, not a curated record. The transcript has 3 exons.
UGCUAGAAAAUUGGGAAAAAUAGCCGAAAAAUCUAGAAAAAUUGGGGAAAGUCCUAAAAAUUAAUUUCGGGCUCGAGGAGUGGGCCGGAGGUUCGAUAUGGGAAUUCGAGGGCAUUAUGGCGGACCAAUAGGUGAUGCCAAUGUGGGCGAUUAGCCGAUUUUCUCUUCCAAAUUAAUUGAGGUUCGACCGGGGAGGCGAUGAUCCUAGAAGAGCUCGAAGUUCGGGCUGGCGUUCUCGCCGAGGCAGAGAUGAAGCUUCGAGCCAGAUGAUGCAAGUCCAGAUGCGAGCAGGGAUGGUGCCGGGAGGCUAUUGUGGCAAUUAACGAUAUUGCCCGAGUUGUGUAUUUAUUUAUCUCUUGUACGUAGCCAUGUGGUGUUAUGUAUGUACACCCUUGUGAGUAAAAUGUAUGUGUUGAUGAGCGUUAGAUGUAUCUAAUUGUUGUAAUCAUCAGUGUGUUAGAUGAUUGUGAGUUUGCGUGAUUAUAUGUGGCUUGAGUUAUUGAAGCCAAGUUAGGGCCGAGUAAAGAUCAGCAAGGUAUGUUCUCAUAAAUCCCCAAUACUCAGCGAAGUGUUUGUUAUGCUAGCUUUAUGCCUGGGUCACCUCUGGUUUGCUUUGAGACGAGCUGAAGGGAGGUGAAGCUCACUCGGGUUCGGGUCUAGGUCCGCUGUAUUUUCUUGUUUAAAUUGGGACCGAUUCUUGAGUGGAGCUAAGGGAAGGACGAAGCCUAGUUCCCACCCAGGGCGUUUCCUGUUGAAACAUAGUGCAACCCUUCAGUUGUGGUUCGUCGGGUGAGUAAUCCGGUCGAUUAUUUACCAGUGGCGCUCGUAAGUGGGAGCGAGUCGUUACAGGAUGCGUGGCUAUAAGUGAUGGGGAUGGGUUGUGCCCACCACAGAGUGUAUGUUGUGGAAGUGACCCACGUGGUAAGUGGGAUACGACCCACAGUGUGAGUGAUUAUGGAAAGCGGGACACGACCCACAAUGUGAGUGAUUAUAGGAAAGUGGGAUACGACCCACAGUGUGAGUGAUUAUGAAAAGUGGGAUACGACCCAUAGUGUGAGUGGU